RNAcentral lists this ribosomal RNA (821 nucleotides) under Klebsiella pneumoniae. RNAcentral describes it as "partial 23S ribosomal RNA". It matches the Rfam family "Bacterial large subunit ribosomal RNA", at positions 2110 to 2925 of the family's 2925-position model. The record is from RNAcentral. Lineage: Bacteria; Pseudomonadati; Pseudomonadota; Gammaproteobacteria; Enterobacterales; Enterobacteriaceae.
CUUGACACUGAACAUUGAGCCUUGAUGUGUAGGAUAGGUGGGAGGCUUUGAAGCGUGGACGCCAGUCUGCGUGGAGCCAACCUUGAAAUACCACCCUUUAAUGUUUGAUGUUCUAACGUUGGCCCCUGACCGGGGUUGCGGACAGUGUCUGGUGGGUAGUUUGACUGGGGCGGUCUCCUCCCAAAGCGUAACGGAGGAGCACGAAGGUUAGCUAAUCCUGGUCGGACAUCAGGAGGUUAGUGCAAUGGCAUAAGCUAGCUUGACUGCGAGCGUGACGGCGCGAGCAGGUGCGAAAGCAGGUCAUAGUGAUCCGGUGGUUCUGAAUGGAAGGGCCAUCGCUCAACGGAUAAAAGGUACUCCGGGGAUAACAGGCUGAUACCGCCCAAGAGUUCAUAUCGACGGCGGUGUUUGGCACCUCGAUGUCGGCUCAUCACAUCCUGGGGCUGAAGUAGGUCCCAAGGGUAUGGCUGUUCGCCAUUUAAAGUGGUACGCGAGCUGGGUUUAGAACGUCGUGAGACAGUUCGGUCCCUAUCUGCCGUGGGCGCUGGAGAAUUGAGGGGGGCUGCUCCUAGUACGAGAGGACCGGAGUGGACGCAUCACUGGUGUUCGGGUUGUCAUGCCAAUGGCACUGCCCGGUAGCUAAAUGCGGAAGAGAUAAGUGCUGAAAGCAUCUAAGCACGAAACUUGCCCCGAGAUGAGUUCUCCCUGAGACUUUAAGUCUCCUGAAGGAACGUUAAAGACGAUGACGUUGAUAGGCCGGGUGUGUAAGCGCAGCGAUGCGUUGAGCUAACCGGUACUAAUGAACCGUGAGGCUUAACCUU